GUUAAGCGACUAAGCGUACACGGUGGAUGCCCUGGCAGUCAGAGGCGAUGAAGGACGUGCUAAUCUGCGAUAAGCGUCGGUAAGGUGAUAUGAACCGUUAUAACCGGCGAUUUCCGAAUGGGGAAACCCAGUGUGUUUCGACACACUAUCAUUAACUGAAUCCAUAGGUUAAUGAGGCGAACCGGGGGAACUGAAACAUCUAAGUACCCCGAGGAAAAGAAAUCAACCGAGAUUCCCCCAGUAGCGGCGAGCGAACGGGGAGGAGCCCAGAGUCUGAAUCAGUGUGUGUGUUAGUGGAAGCGUCUGGAAAGGCGCGCGAUACAGGGUGACAGCCCCGUACACAAAAAUGCACAUACUGUGAGCUCGAUGAGUAGGGCGGGACACGUGGUAUCCUGUCUGAAUAUGGGGGGACCAUCCUCCAAGGCUAAAUACUCCUGACUGACCGAUAGUGAACCAGUACCGUGAGGGAAAGGCGAAAAGAACCCCGGCGAGGGGAGUGAAAAAGAACCUGAAACCGUGUACGUACAAGCAGUGGGAGCCUCUUUUAUGGGGUGACUGCGUACCUUUUGUAUAAUGGGUCAGCGACUUAUAUUCUGUAGCAAGGUUAACCGAAUAGGGGAGCCGAAGGGAAACCGAGUCUUAACUGGGCGUUAAGUUGCAGGGUAUAGACCCGAAACCCGGUGAUCUAGCCAUGGGCAGGUUGAAGGUUGGGUAACACUAACUGGAGGACCGAACCGACUAAUGUUGAAAAAUUAGCGGAUGACUUGUGGCUGGGGGUGAAAGGCCAAUCAAACCGGGAGAUAGCUGGUUCUCCCCGAAAGCUAUUUAGGUAGCGCCUCGUGAAUUCAUCUCCGGGGGUAGAGCACUGUUUCGGCAAGGGGGUCAUCCCGACUUACCAACCCGAUGCAAACUGCGAAUACCGGAGAAUGUUAUCACGGGAGACACACGGCGGGUGCUAACGUCCGUCGUGAAGAGGGAAACAACCCAGACCGCCAGCUAAGGUCCCAAAGUCAUGGUUAAGUGGGAAACGAUGUGGGAAGGCCCAGACAGCCAGGAUGUUGGCUUAGAAGCAGCCAUCAUUUAAAGAAAGCGUAAUAGCUCACUGGUCGAGUCGGCCUGCGCGGAAGAUGUAACGGGGCUAAACCAUGCACCGAAGCUGCGGCAGCGACGCUUAUGCGUUGUUGGGUAGGGGAGCGUUCUGUAAGCCUGCGAAGGUGUGCUGUGAGGCAUGCUGGAGGUAUCAGAAGUGCGAAUGCUGACAUAAGUAACGAUAAAGCGGGUGAAAAGCCCGCUCGCCGGAAGACCAAGGGUUCCUGUCCAACGUUAAUCGGGGCAGGGUG
Molecule: ribosomal RNA, 1340 nt
Filed under: Escherichia coli
Lineage: Bacteria; Pseudomonadati; Pseudomonadota; Gammaproteobacteria; Enterobacterales; Enterobacteriaceae
Description: partial 23S ribosomal RNA
Rfam family: Bacterial large subunit ribosomal RNA
Source: RNAcentral